This 506-nucleotide ribosomal RNA is filed under the name uncultured bacterium. RNAcentral describes it as "partial 16S ribosomal RNA". It matches the Rfam family "Bacterial small subunit ribosomal RNA", at positions 30 to 523 of the family's 1533-position model. The record is from RNAcentral.
AUUGAACGCUGGCGGCAGGCCUAACACAUGCAAGUCGAACGGCGGCACAGAAGAGCUUGCUCUUUGGGUGGCGAGUGGCGGACGGGUGAGUAAUGUCUGGGAAACUGCCCGAUGGAGGGGGAUAACUACUGGAAACGGUAGCUAAUACCGCAUAACGUCGCAAGACCAAAGUGGGGGACCUUCGGGCCUCACACCGUCGGAUGUGCCCAGAUGGGAUUAGCUAGUAGGUGGGGUAAUGGCUCACCUAGGCGACGAUCCCUAGCUGGUCUGAGAGUAUGACCAGCCACACUGGAACUGAGACACGGUCCAGACUCGUACGGGAGGCAGCAGUGGGGAAUAUUGCACAAUGGGCGCAAGCCUGAUGCAGCCAUGCCGCGUGUAUGAAGAAGGCCUUCGGGUUGUAAAGUACUUUCAGCGGGGAGGAAGGCGGUGAGGUUAAUAACCUUGCCGAUUGACGUUACCCGCAGAAGAAGCACCGGCUAACUCCGUGCCAGCCGCCGCAGUAA